GUUUAAAGCUGUGAUUAAAGCUGCUCUGCAUUCUGCUUGCAAGGCAGCUGGACCUGCACGAAUUACGAUAAUAACCACACAAGCUCCUUCCUGCGAAGAGUGCUGUUUCUGUAGCUGUGUCAGACAAGUGCUGCCUUUUAAGAAUGAUUGCUCAGCUCUAAGUGACAUUUUUUGGCUUUCUUUUAGAAAAGUAAGUUAUUUAUUUGCCUGGUAUUUUAACUAAAGAACACUAUCAUCCCUAGAGAACAAUUCUGUUUUUCAGCACCGGAGCAAUUACUUUCAGCUGUAUCAAGUGCCUGAUGUUUAAAAGUCUGUAUGGUUUCAUGGAUCCAAGAAAUGCCUUCUCUAAAGGACUCCUGAGCUAACUUCUCCGUGGUUCUCACCACCCUCACGGUCUCAGAAGUACGUCAUUGUGUAUUGCUCACUCACCAUUUAUGAGUAAAUGCACACCCAACUGGGAGAUGUUACACCCGGAGAUGAAGUAGGACACAAAUGCAUAUGGUCAUGAUUCCGUCCUUUAGACCUUGUCUGGAAAAGCUGUCCUUUUACAGGACAGCUGACGGAGAAGGAACUCUCUGGGGUUUUGUUCCAAGGGUUGAACUCAUGACAGCUGAGUUGUGCCCUUCUGGAAAAAACAAACAGCAGGAGCAUUUCCAGGCUCACCACUCAUCCUCCUGUCCAAGACUGGGUUUCUCUAAACUAAGCAGAGUGUGAUGCCACCAGCUCCCCUCUCAGUGACUGGGCUGAACACGAGCAUCAGUACUGCUCUGCACUGAGCAAGGAGGUAAGCAAGGAGACCUCGAGCAGCCACGCCAUAUGUAGCCAUGGCAGCUGUAUAUGUAGUACGUAUAUUUCUGAAUAGGGCUAAUCCUUGAUGCUGGAACAAUGGGAAUAGGACCAGAGAGCUGAAGGCAGGAUGCCCUAUUAAUGAGAGAGCUUGCACCUGUACUAUUAGUUUAUUACUGGCAUGCAUCAGGUUCAUAUUGACUAACAGUCCACUGAGACAAAGUCUUAGAAGCCCAGCUCAUAAGAACAGAACACGUAUAUAGCUAGAUCAAUCUAUAAUUCAUACUUUCACCAGAGGCAUUUGGACACUCAAUUCUUGCCAUACUGAAUAAUUAAUGUAUUCUUUGUGCUGGAAGUAAAUAAUAUACAUGAAACAUAUCAUCCACAAUACGGAAUGUGUAAGACCCUGCUAUUGCCAUAUGCUCAUGCCAACAUCUACCAAAAAUAAAAACCAAAAAAUUCCACCA
RNAcentral lists this long non-coding RNA (1253 nucleotides) under Anser brachyrhynchus (Pink-footed goose). Its description in RNAcentral is "lncRNA (ENSABRG00000014542.1)". The record is from RNAcentral. Lineage: Eukaryota; Metazoa; Chordata; Aves; Anseriformes; Anatidae.